GGGAUGAGCUUGCGUCCGAUUAGCUAGUUGGCGGGCAACGGCCCACCAAGGCGACGAUCGGUAGCCGGCCUGAGAGGGCGAUCGGCCACAUUGGGACUGAGAUACGGCCCAGACUCUACGGGAGGCAGCAGUAGGGAAUAUUGCACAAUGGGGGAAACCCUGAUGCAGCAACGCCACGUGUGGGAAGAAGCAUUUCGGUGUGUAAACCACUGUCGUGAAGGAAUAAGGCUUAUUUUCGGAUAAGUUGAAUGUACUUUGAAAGGAAGCACCGGCAAACUUCGUGCCAGCAGCCGCGGUAAUACGAGGGGUGCAAGCGUUGUUCGGAAUCACUGGGCGUAAAGGGAGCGCAGGCGGAGAUGCAAGCGGACUGUACAAUCCCGGGGCCCAACCCNACCUGCAGUCCGGACUGCACCUCUUGGAUAGUUCAGGGGCAAGCGGAAUUCCUGGUGUAGCGGUGGAAUGCGUAGAGAUCAGGAAGAACACCGAUGGCGAAGGCAGCCUGCUGGGGACUUAUCGACGCUGAGGCUCGAAAGUGCGGGUAGCAAACAGGAUUAGAUACCCUGGUAGUCC
Molecule: ribosomal RNA, 570 nt
Filed under: uncultured bacterium
Lineage: Bacteria
Description: bacterial SSU rRNA
Rfam family: Bacterial small subunit ribosomal RNA
Source: RNAcentral